This 336-nucleotide unclassified non-coding RNA is filed under the name soil metagenome. RNAcentral's name for it is "partial contains 5.8S ribosomal RNA, internal transcribed spacer 2, and large subunit ribosomal RNA". The stretch from base 1 to 120 matches the Rfam family "5.8S ribosomal RNA", at positions 35 to 154 of the family's 154-position model. The record is from RNAcentral.
GAUGAAGAACGUAGCGAAAUGCGAUAAGUAAUGUGAAUUGCAGAAUUCCGUGAAUCAUCGAAUCUUUGAACGCACAUUGCGCCCCCUGGUAUUCCGGGGGGCAUGUCUGUCCGAGCGUCAUUGCAACCUUCAAGCGCGGCUUGUGUGUUGGGUCUCGUCCCCCGUGGACGGGCCCGAAAGGCAGUGGCGGCGUCCCGACAUGGUGCCCGAGCGUAUGGGAAUCCUCUUCCGCUCGAAUCGGCCCAUGCGGCGCUGGUCGUAACCAAAUUUUUUACCGGUUGACCUCGGAUCAGGUAGGGAUACCCGCUGAACUUAAGCAUAUCAAUAAGCGGAGGA